GAGAACAUCAGGAGAUCUCAGCACACAGAAUCAAGUCUUUCAAAAGAGUAGUGUACCUAGGAAGUUUAUCAGUCUUUCAUGAAUCAACAUUAAGCAGAUUUCCUCUUUGAAUUCUCAUUGAUGAUGAAGGAUAACCUUCAUUUAGUAAUCAGGAAAGGUGAGAGUUUGUCCUAGAGAGCUGCACUUUUUUAUAAGUGCCUUAAAAUGUUACUAUUUAUUUAUUUACUACACUUAUAUAUUUAUUUAUGAGGGGCCUGUGUUUGGUGCCAUAUGUAUAUAUAAGUUGGAGGAGAAUUUGGGGGAGUUGGUUCUCUCUUUUCACCAUAUGGGUCUGAGGGAUUGAACACAUGCUAUGAACCUGUGUAACAAUGAACUUUACCUGCUGAAAUAUCUUGUUGACCCUAAAGUAUGUUUUAAUAAUAGAUUUUGGGGGGUAGAGCCAUCUACUCAUUCUAUCAUUCUCUAUAUUACAGGAUGGCAUAAUUAAAUGAUGUCUUAGUACCAUGGAUUUCUGUGUCUCCUUUGACAAGAAGCUAAGUCCUUUUGUGUCCCUAUUGACUUUCUCCUUUUGUAAAAAUCCCAUGAUUGGAAAAUGUCUCAGGGCUGUUCUACACAAG
RNAcentral lists this long non-coding RNA (617 nucleotides) under Mus caroli (Ryukyu mouse). Its description in RNAcentral is "predicted gene 20641 (MGP_CAROLIEiJ_G0002868.1)". Lineage: Eukaryota; Metazoa; Chordata; Mammalia; Rodentia; Muridae. The record is from RNAcentral.